Molecule: ribosomal RNA, 516 nt
Filed under: Simulium amplum
Lineage: Eukaryota; Metazoa; Arthropoda; Insecta; Diptera; Simuliidae
Description: partial 16S ribosomal RNA
Rfam family: Archaeal large subunit ribosomal RNA
Source: RNAcentral
GUCUUUUUGGUACUUAAUAUAAAGUCUAACCUGCCCACUGAAUAUAUUUUAAAGGGCCGCAGUAUUUUGACUGUGCAAAGGUAGCAUAAUCAUUAGUCUUUUAAUUGAAGGCUGGUAUGAAUGGUUGAAUAAGAUACAAGCUGUGUCAUAAAAAUUAAUAAUUGAAUUUAACUUUUUAGUCAAAAGGCUAAAAUUUAUUUAAAAGACGAGAAGACCCUAUAGAGCUUUAUAUAUUAAUUAUUUAGAUUAUUAAGAUUUUUAAAAUUUAAUUUUUAAGAUAUAUUUUGUUGGGGUGACAAUAAAAUUUAUAAAACUUUUAUUUAUAUUUGACAUUAAUUUAUGGCUAUAUGAUCCAGUUUUAUUGAUUAUAAAUUUAAGUUACCUUAGGGAUAACAGCGUAAUUUUUUUUGAGAGUUCUUAUCGACAAAAAAGAUUGCGACCUCGAUGUUGGAUUAAGAGUAAUUUUGGGUGCAGAAGUUCAAAAUUUAAGUCUGUUCGACUUUUAAAUUCUUACAU